This 465-nucleotide ribosomal RNA is filed under the name uncultured bacterium. Its description in RNAcentral is "partial 16S ribosomal RNA". It matches the Rfam family "Bacterial small subunit ribosomal RNA", at positions 32 to 507 of the family's 1533-position model. The record is from RNAcentral.
AAUCAACGCUGGCGGCGUGCCUCACACAUGCAAGUCGAACGAUUAAACUUCCCUUCGGGGAUGAUAUAAAGUGGCGCACGGGUGAGUAACACGUAGGUAAUGUACCUUUGGGAGGGGAACAACUAAGGGAAACUUAAGCUAAUACCGCAUAAUGCAUCGGCUCUUUCGGGAGACAGUUGUUAAAGAUUUAUCGCCUAAAGAACAGCCUGCGGCAGAUUAGUUAGUUGGUAAGGUAAAGGCUUACCAAGGCUACGAACUGUAUCCGAGCUGAGAGGGUGGUCGGACACACUGACGAUGGAGAACGGGUCCGACUCCUACGGGAGGCAGGAAGCGGGGAUUUUGGGCAAUGGGCGGAAGCCUGGCCCAGCAGCGGCGCGGGAAGGAUGAAGUCUUUCGGGUUGUAAAAUUCGUAUGAAUAGGAAGAAUAUGUGAGGGUACUAUUAGUAAGGUCCGGCUAACUACGUG